CCAGCCAUGCCGCGUGCAGGAAGAAGGUCCUCUGGAUUGUAAACUGCUUUUAUCGGGGAAGAAUAGGUCUCUUGCGAGGGAUUGUGACGGUACCCGAUGAAUAAGCCACGGCUAACUACGUGCCAGCAGCCGCGGUAAUACGUAGGUGGCAAGCGUUGUCCGGAUUUAUUGGGUUUAAAGGGUGCGUAGGUGGUUUUAUAAGUCAGUGGUGAAAGCUGGUUGCUCAACAAUCAAGUUGCCAUUGAUACUGUUAGACUUGAGAGAAGUGGAGGUUCAUGGAAUGGAUGGUGUAGCGGUGAAAUGCAUAGAUAUCAUCCAGAACGUCGAUUGCGAAGGCAGUGGGCUGUACUUUUUCUGACACUGAGGCACGAAAGCGUGGGGAUCAAACAGGAUUAGAUACCCUGGUAGUCCACGCUGUAAACGAUGCGAACUAGCUUUCGGGUUUAAGAUUCGGGGGCUAAGGGAAACCGAUAA
This 474-nucleotide ribosomal RNA is filed under the name Runella sp. RNAcentral's name for it is "bacterial SSU rRNA". It matches the Rfam family "Bacterial small subunit ribosomal RNA", at positions 388 to 863 of the family's 1533-position model. The record is from RNAcentral. Lineage: Bacteria; Pseudomonadati; Bacteroidota; Cytophagia; Cytophagales; Spirosomataceae.